CCUACGGGAGGCAGCAGUGGGGAAUUUUGGACAAUGGGCGCAAGCCUGAUCCAGCAAUGCCGCGUGAGUGAAGAAGGCCUUCGGGUUGUAAAGCUCUUUUGUCAGGGAAGAAACGGUGGGGGCUAAUAUCCUCCACUAAUGACGGUACCUGAAGAAUAAGCACCGGCUAACUACGUGCCAGCAGCCGCGGUAAUACGUAGGGUGCAAGCGUUAAUCGGAAUUACUGGGCGUAAAGCGUGGGCAGGCGGUUUUGUAAGUCUGUCGUGAAAGCCCCGGGCUCAACCUGGGAAUUGCGAUGGAGACUGCAAGGCUUGAAUCUGGCAGAGGGGGGUAGAAUUCCACGUGUAGCAGUGAAAUGCGUAGAGAUGUGGAGGAACACCGAUGGCGAAGGCAGCCCCCUGGGUCAAGAUUGACGCUCAUGCACGAAAGCGUGGGGAGCAAACAGGAUUAGAUACCCUGGUAGUCCACGCCCUAAACGAUGUCUACUAGUUGUCGGGUUUUAAUAACUUGGUAACGCAGCUAACGCGUGAAGUAGACCGCCUUGGGGGAGGUACGGUCGCGAGUAAGUUAAACGUUAAAGUUAAGUUAAGUUAGUUAGGUUCGUGAGACGUUGCCGACGGACGACGACGAGGGAGGAGG
This 639-nucleotide ribosomal RNA is filed under the name uncultured bacterium. Its description in RNAcentral is "bacterial SSU rRNA". The stretch from base 1 to 541 matches the Rfam family "Bacterial small subunit ribosomal RNA", at positions 338 to 873 of the family's 1533-position model. The record is from RNAcentral.